UGCCAGCCGCCGCGGUAAUACGAAGGGGGCUAGCGUUGUUCGGAAUUACUGGGCGUAAAGAGCAUGUAGGCGGAUGAAUUAGUCAGAGGUGAAAGCCCCGAGCUCAACUUGGGAACUGCCUUUGAUACUGUUUAUCUAGAGUCCGAGAGAGGUAGAAGUUCCGGUGUAGCGGUGAAAUGCGUAGAGAUCGGAAGGAAUACCGGUGGCGAAGGCGGCCUCCUGGACCAAUAUUGACGCUGAGGUGCGAAAGCGUGGGGAGCAAACAGGAUUAGAUA
RNAcentral lists this ribosomal RNA (275 nucleotides) under uncultured bacterium. Its description in RNAcentral is "partial 16S ribosomal RNA". It matches the Rfam family "Bacterial small subunit ribosomal RNA", at positions 506 to 784 of the family's 1533-position model. The record is from RNAcentral.